CAUGGGGGAGUGUGAUGGGGGUGGCACACGUGUGUGCACAGUUGUUCACUCUCCAGACACAGGAGGUUGAUUGGGCUUGCAGUUAUCAUCUGCUUGUGUUCUUUGAAUGGAAAGAUUCCAGUGUGGGGAAUGACGUCAAACGCAGCUCAUGAAUGCAGAAUGAUGUCUUCCUGUGCUGACCCAUAUGCCCAUUGCAUAUUUUUUUUUACUUGAAAAGAUGCUGCUGUUUAAUCUCACCUCAGUAUAUCGAGCUGCUCUGAGGAAAGCUUUCUCACUCAGUGACCAAGAUUCAAUCAUCUGUCCUUUAGUUCUUUGGCUACAAACAUUCUCCAUCUCUACAUCAUUCUGCUGAACAUUUGUCCAAACAAAGAAGACUAAUGGCCUUGGGAAGAGCUGAAGAGAGAGAAGGAUGGCUGAUAUUGAACUGGGUUUUUGACCUAUCAAAGGGCAAUUUUAUAUGUUUUAACUGAAGAUAAAAGUGAAAUGUAAACAAAACCUAGAAAAACAAGGUUGACAUUUAAAGAUAGAUUUAAAAACUCAAAGAGAUGAAAGUUAAGAGGGAAGUAGAAAUAGCAUUCACAGACAAGAAGAACCACAAAAUAAGAUUCCAGGCUUCUCUAUGCUUGUAAGCUGGCAGUGGCUACUAGAGCAGCCAUGAGCCACCUGUGGCUAUUUCAAGUUAAAUGAACUAACAUGAAAUAAAGCUGAAAA
This is a long non-coding RNA of Mastomys coucha (southern multimammate mouse), 711 nucleotides long. RefSeq lists it as uncharacterized. Lineage: Eukaryota; Metazoa; Chordata; Mammalia; Rodentia; Muridae. The transcript is spliced from 2 exons. The record is from RefSeq and is a predicted model, not a curated record.